This 322-nucleotide ribosomal RNA is filed under the name uncultured Chloroflexota bacterium. RNAcentral's name for it is "bacterial SSU rRNA". It matches the Rfam family "Bacterial small subunit ribosomal RNA", at positions 28 to 351 of the family's 1533-position model. The record is from RNAcentral. Lineage: Bacteria; Bacillati; Chloroflexota.
GAUGAACGCUGGCGGCGUGCCUAACACAUGCAAGUCGAACGUGAGGGAAUACUUGUAUUCCUGAAAGUGGCGAACGGGUGAGUAACACGUAGGUAACCUGCCGCGUAGUGGGGAAUAACGACUGGAAACGGUCGCUAAUACCGCAUAGGUCUGGGGGCACGGGAGUGCUUUUGGGCAAAGCUUUAGCGCUACGCGAGGGGCCUGCGUCCGAUUAGCUAGUUGGUGAGGUAAAGGCUCACCAAGGCGAUGAUCGGUAGCUGGUCUGAGAGGACGAUCAGCCACACGGGAACUGAGACACGGUUCCGACUCCUACGGGUGGCUG